Molecule: ribosomal RNA, 315 nt
Filed under: uncultured eukaryote
Lineage: Eukaryota
Description: partial 18S ribosomal RNA
Rfam family: Eukaryotic small subunit ribosomal RNA
Source: RNAcentral
CCCUUAGACGUUCUGGGCCGCACGCGCGCUACACUGACCAGUGCAACAAGCAUCCGUCCUUGGCCGACAGGCCCGGGCAAUCUUUGAACGCUGGUCGUGAUGGGGAUAGACUUUUGCAAUUUUUGGUCUUCAACGAGGAAUUCCUAGUAAACGCAAGUCAUCAACUUGCAUUGAUUACGUCCCUGCCCUUUGUACACACCGCCCGUCGCACCUACCGAUUGAAUGGUCCGGUGAAGCCUCCGGAUUGGCGCGCACCUCGGUGCCGCCGAGAAGUUGGCUAAACCUUACCAGUUAGAGGAAGGUGAANUCGUANCA